UCCCUGGUGGCUUAGUGGUAAAGAAUCCACCUGCCAGAGUGGAAGAUCCAGGUUCGAUUUCUGAUCUGGGAG
RNAcentral lists this transfer RNA (72 nucleotides) under Bos taurus (domestic cattle). It matches the Rfam family "tRNA". Rfam says of the family: Transfer RNA (tRNA) molecules are approximately 80 nucleotides in length. Their secondary structure includes four short double-helical elements and three loops (D, anti-codon, and T loops). RNAcentral also lists the same sequence under 1 other name. Lineage: Eukaryota; Metazoa; Chordata; Mammalia; Artiodactyla; Bovidae. The record is from Rfam by way of RNAcentral.